CUCCUAUUGUUCAUAGCGUGAUGUUUUAUAGCCUAUAGCCUUCCUCGAUAAAUGAACUAUUCAACACAAACAUAAUUAUUUAAAUCGGACCAGUAGUUCUGGAGAUUAGCGCGAUCAAACAAACAAACAAACACACUCUUCAGCUUUAUAAUAUUGGUAUAGAUUAGUCUCAAAAGUUCAUUUUCACAUCAUUAUCAUUUUAAAUUCUAUAGUUUAUGAAAAUCGUUAUCAUUAACAAUAAGUAACGUUUUACACACAAACUACCGCACCCACACCCCACAUUUAAUGCUUACUCAAAUUAUUCCUUAGUAACGAUUUUGUAACGAAAACAUUUGCUAAGGACUAGUUUUAAAGCAAACAUUAAAUGACUGGUAUGACGGUAAGGUAAACAAAUCAUAUAGAAAGAAUUAAUAUAACUAUUAGCAGUUAAAACAAAAAUAUUUCCUCAUUUAUUAUGGGUUCGUGGAAAUCUCUCCCCAAUCUCAUAAUCUUAUUAUUUCUCUCACCCGUUAGUCUAUAUAUAUAAAAAUCAAUUGCUAUUCCUUUGUCUCGCUAAAACUCGAGAACGGCUGGACCGAUUUGGCAAAUUUUGGUCUUGAAUUAUUUGUAGAAGUCCAGGGAAGGUUUAAAAGGUGAGAAAAUAUCAAAUAAUUGACGGAAAAACCCUAAAAACUGCCCUUUCCUUUAUCCCAUACAAACGUUUUCUAACUAAUACGUAGAGUCAAUUUGAGCUUUAUUGCUAUUGGAUAAAGUUCAUUGUUGGAUAAAUGCUAUUGGAUACUAAAAACAAAUGCUAUUGAAUAAGUGUGCGUUGGAGACUUGGAGCACAGAAUCCCUACUAAUAUUAUAAAUGCGAAAGUAACUCUGUCUGUCUGUAAUUACGCUUUCAAGCUUAACCAGUGAACCGAUUUUGAUGGAAUUUAGUACUGAGAUAGAAUAGACCUUGAUACUUUUUAUUGCAAAAAAAUUGCGGAGAAUGGUCAUAUGGAAAUUCGUCAUUUUAAAAGCUGUAACAGUAAAACUUUGUAUUUAGAUACUUAAUGAGGAACGAAAGAACAUGGUCUACUUUUUAUUGCAAAAAAAUAGGGGAGAGUGGGUAAAAAUAGGGGAUGAAUGGUCAUAUGGAAAUUCGUCAUUUUUAAAGCUGUAACAGUGAAAUUUUGUAUUUAGACACUUAAUGAGGAGCGAAAGAACAUAGGCUACUUUUUAAUAAAAAGGGUAGAAGGCGUAGUAUGUUUGAUAGAGGAGAUUAAUGUUUGCUUGAAAAUUCGUCAUUUUCGUUAAUACGUUGCCUGUGGCUUUACUCGCGUUCGAUUCUUAUUUAAAUACACAUAUACUUAUUUAAAUCGCCAAUAUCCCUACUACCAUACUAAUGUUAUGAAUGCGAAAGCACGAAUGUUUUUUUUUUGGAAUAUAACAACGAAACAAUGUAUUUUUUUAUUGAUAGGCAAUAUAUAGGAAAUUAAAGGAUAAUAAUAUAGAUAACCUUGGCUACUUUUCAUCAUGAUUAUAAAAUGAUGAAUCGGCGGUCGUGGUUUCUUUGGAAUACAUAUCUUUAAAAAUGCUUAAAAUUAUCUUAAAAUUAUUAUUAUCUUUAAAUCGUAGGCCGCAUCAUCACUUACCAUCAGGUGAGAUAGCGGUCAAACGUCGACCCAUUAAAUGUAAAAAAAAAAAAAAUGCUAACAGUAACAUAUUCUCAAGUAAUUCACAUUUUAGAUGACAUACGGCAGCAUUUUGACCAUUAACACCUCUACGCGGACGAAGUCGCGGGCAAAAGCUAGAUUCGAUAAAUUUUCAUUUGUACAUGUCAAAUAUUUGUUGUUUCUAAAUUCAAAUUCUGUAAAUAAUUAUUGACAUUUAUGCAUAAACUAUGAAAAGGGUGAAUAAACAAUUGUCUGUAUUUUUUUUAAUCUAUUGAAAAUGUUGAAAUGUGCAUUAAGCAUGAAUAGAAAUUCCUCAAAUAUUAAUUAAGUGUGCGUUCAGAAAGAAUGACAAAUUAUCAACAGUUACGCGUGUGUUCAGAAAUUUAUUUUGUGUAAAUUAAAGUUUCUAUUCACGUUUUCGAACAAACGAUGCUCUUUCAAUAUAGUCUAUUGGUGUGAAUGACAUUGACAUUCGUAUUGCGCGUUUUUUAAAAUAUGCAAAAUUAAAUGUAUAUUUUUCAAUAUUUCUGAGAGAUUAUCUUAAUAUUUCUUCGAGUUUUAAAAACUAAGAAGAUUUUUAUUUGCUAAUAAGUGUUUGUUAAUCAAGGUAAGUUCACAUCUUCAUUAUUGAUUUUUAGUAACUUUUGGUGACUACACAAUACUACAAUUUGGUAUACACGGUUAUGCAGAAAAUGUAUGAGAGCUUUUUAUUUUCAGUUGGAAUUUCGGUUUUAACAAUGCUACCAACCAGAUGUACAAGCUUAGGCCGCAGAACUCGAAAUACGGCAAGGCAAAGAAAUAUAAGAGCAAAUCAAACUGAUGAGCAUCGCGAAGCGCGAAAUGAACUUGAACUGAAUCGAUAUCAAGAUAGAAAUGUUGUGUUUAAUCCCCACAAAGCUGCAUUCAGUUAUAAUGUGGCAAUUGAUUACAGUUCAGAGCAAAUUGUUGCUAUUGGACUAAUGAACAUUGUGUGUCCACAUUGGGAUUGAAAUUAAAAAAUGAAGCCUCUGGAUUGUGUUGCGCCAGCGGCCAAGUCAAAUUGACGCCAUUGGUACCGCCACCAGAGCCACCACAUUCAUUGGUUCAUUUUUUGACUCAUAUCCAGCAGUACAAUAAUUGCUUUCAAAUGACAUCAUUUGGGGCAACAAAAGUUAUACGAGACAAUUUUUUGCCUACUUUUAGCAAAUUCAGGGAUUCAAAUAUAUCAUCAAACAGGUUCCUUAUUGCCAGUGCCUGUUGAAGACUAUACAUUUUUGCAAAUAUAUUUUAUGGACAAUUCAGCAAGAGAAGUCGAUCAGCGUUGCGCACACAACAACUCAGUAAAGAGAUCCAUUGUGAUGAACAACUUCAAAUAUUUUUCCUUCAACACAAUGAAUUAGUUGCAUUAGACCGAUGUAUUAGACAUUCACAAAUGCAUUAGACCGCAUGCCAUCAGAUAAUCACAAAAUUGUCAUCAGAGCCGAUAAGGCGCCUGCAGGACAGUGAAAUGAUUGAAUCCUAUGAAAUAAACACUGUUAUGAAAAUAUGUUUUGUUUUUUUUUUUUAAAUUAGUAAAGUCCUUUUCAGGUAUAGUGAGACCAGGAAAUUAUGGAUUCAUUUUUAUAUGGAGGAUAUUUAUAGAUUCCAAUUCAAAUUGAAUAGGGACUCAUACAUAACUCAGCUAUACAAAAUAAAGGAGAGCAUCAUUGCUACGCGAAAGCGGUACGAAGUUCGCUGGGUCAGCUAGUCUAUAAUAUAAUUAAUAUAAUGUACGAUGAAAAACAAUAUUUGUGGAUUAUCACUGUAGUUUUUUUAGUACUAACGGCAAAUGUUUUUUUUUUACCUGUUCCUUUCGUUUUAUUAGGUAGGUGACUCAGGGACAUGAAUGACUAUCUUGGAUCCCGCAACGAAAUAAAUCAGAAGAUAUUAUUAGAGGAGAAGAAAAAGUGAAAGUGUCUUAUGAGUCCUUACAUGAAAAAACGAGGUAAUAAUUCUUCUUAACCUUAAGUAUCACUGCAAUUUAAUUCUCGUAUCGCAGCUUUAACCGCAAAACCACUAAUAACAAAGUUGCGGUUUUCAAAAUAACAAUGGAAUAAAAUCGCCUCAGUCCUUUGAUUCAUAAUUAUGAGGACACAUAAAAAGGAUUUUCGGGUCUUUAAAAAAACGGUAGAUGCUUUAAAUUCUAUAGAUUUUAUUUCAUUUGAGAAGUAGUACAAAACACGUACCUAAGCAGAAUUUCGGCAUAGUUUUUUAUUUAAUAAAUCGCCAUGGCCGCGCGUUCGAAAGGGACACAUACAAAUCUUUGAGUGACCAUGACCAAGCUAUAAUAUACAAAACUAUAUAUUUCUGUAACGUCACUACAAAGAAAAUGAGGUAAACGAUGAAAUGUAUUAAUACUGAUGUUAUUAACUUUGUUUCUCUUCAAAGGAAGGACAUUGAUAUUUAAUUAAAAAGUAAACUUUUGCUGUUUGACCUAUUUAUGUACUGGUCGCGGCCUCGGCUCCCCUGCGUACAAUCAGGGAGGAACACUUUUCUAGUGAGGAAACACACAUGACUGUCUCGUUUGAUUUAUUGAACAUUACAAUGUAGCACUGAUACAUAAUUUGUCUAUGUUGCUACUACAUAUGUCUACAUCUACUAUCUACAUAUCUAUACAAUCCUUUUUUAAGGAGAAAGAAUUAUCCAAUGACUUCUCCCGCCUUGGGCAAGGCGAGAGGGAAUGUCAGAUUCUUACUGACUUAAAAAUUAUAUUAUAAAUUCCUACUCCUGCUUUUAUAGCCGGAGCCCCGGUAAAUCCGCUAAGUAGUUCGCAGCUCCGGGCUAGACGUCAGCCCUACUAGGCCACAUCUGUGGUGGUCUGAUGGCUCUUUGAGAUCCAUACAAUCCCUAAAAUAUCAUCACUGGUUAUCCACAGUCCAGUGAUCAUCUUUUCAGGAAAAUUAUUGGGAGAUAGAAUUGUAUAAUGGCGGUUACUCUUCCAACCAAUCUCAAUGUCAAUGCAAUUUCAAUCCAAUAAUUAUUAAAUGUCCUAACUAUACAACCCCAAUCGUAGUAGUUAAAAUAGCAUUCAGAGUACAGAAUAUAAAGCCAAACUCAAUACCAUUUGGGUUAUUCAAUAUCCAUGCAAUACGAAUGCAAUAGGCGCUAGUAGGUUGCAGCUCAAGAGUACAAAAUUUCACGAUAUCAAUGUCAAUCGAUUGGAUUUGGAUUCAAGAGUAAGCCUCCUGAAAUUUCGUAAAUAUUAUUUUGAAAGCAGACAGUAAGAGAACACAAAGUACAACUAAAUUGGUACAUAUACUUUCACUACUACAUAGGAUAUUAUAUGGUCUGGGUAAAUAGUUAUUGUAUUGAUUUAAAUCAAUUGAGAGAUUAUUGUUAUUGCUUGUGUGAACACAGAAAAUACUAAUCGUGUUCUUAAGAGCAUAUAGCUUAAUGAAAGGUUUACUGCCCUACAUAAAAAAUGCAUACCUUUUUUUCAAAGUCAAAGUCAAAUCUUUUAUAGCAUACAUAUUUAAGUUAAUAAGUUAAGGUUACGGUUUCAAAGUCAACAAAAAACUUAAGUAGUGUCAACGGUUUAUUAAAUACAUAAAACAUAGGUAACAGGAUAACAAUUAGCAAUUAACUACAAUAAUCUAUUGGAAUGUAUAAUACUGCAGCGGUGGUUAGCUGUGAGCUGUGAGGAGUAAGCAGCCUGACAUCUGGUGGAUGUCGCCUAGUUGUGGUUCUGCUGGUAGAUCUCGUGGCCAGUGCCGAUGACACCGAUCACACCGAGUCCGUGUUU
Molecule: long non-coding RNA, 5403 nt
Organism: Spodoptera frugiperda (fall armyworm)
Lineage: Eukaryota; Metazoa; Arthropoda; Insecta; Lepidoptera; Noctuidae
Exons: 2
Source: RefSeq, a predicted model, not a curated record